Molecule: transfer-messenger RNA, 382 nt
Filed under: Rivularia sp. IAM M-261
Lineage: Bacteria; Bacillati; Cyanobacteriota; Cyanophyceae; Nostocales; Rivulariaceae
Rfam family: transfer-messenger RNA
About the family: Bacterial tmRNA, also known as 10Sa RNA or SsrA, is named for its dual tRNA and mRNA-like properties. Its role is to liberate the mRNA from a stalled ribosome.
Source: RNAcentral
GGGUCUGUACUGGUUUCGACGGGGUAGCGAAAGCUGUUCGUUGAUGCAGGUCGAGAGGGAGUGUCUCUCGUAAAUAAAGGCUCAAAACAAUAGAUGCAAACAACAUCGUAAAAUUUGCUCGUAAGGAUGCCCUAGUAGCAGCCUAAAAGCCUCUUUCAGGUCCGAGCGUUUCUAGUUUGACUCCGUUAAGAGCUAGAGACAACCCUCAACGGAUGCGCCAACAAGUUUCCUCUGGUAGACUAGUUAGCAAAGAAAUCACCAGAGCAUCCUACCGUCUGGGAUAAUAGACGAUUCCCGCCUUGAGGGUAAGAUAGGCUAAACCUGUGAAUGAUGCGGAAGUUAAUACCUAUUUCGGACGGCAGUUCGAUUCUGCCCAGAUCCA